This 114-nucleotide ribosomal RNA is filed under the name Pteropus alecto (black flying fox). The record is from RNAcentral. Lineage: Eukaryota; Metazoa; Chordata; Mammalia; Chiroptera; Pteropodidae.
GUCUACAGCCAUGCUACCCUGAACAAGCCCAGUCCCGUCUGAUCUUAGAAGCUAAGCAGGGUCGGGCCUGGUAAGUACUUGGAUGGGAGACCACCUAGGAAAGUGCUGUAGGAG